RNAcentral lists this ribosomal RNA (203 nucleotides) under uncultured bacterium. Its description in RNAcentral is "partial 16S ribosomal RNA". It matches the Rfam family "Bacterial small subunit ribosomal RNA", at positions 133 to 334 of the family's 1533-position model. The record is from RNAcentral.
GGUGGUGGGGGAGUAGCCGGGCUAACGCCCGGGUAAUACCGCAUACGGUUCUCGAGGGGAGUCCCUUGGGAAAGAAACCUCCGGGGCACAGAGAGGGGCUCGCGGCCUAUCAGCUAGUUGGGGGGGUAAUGGCCCACCAAGGCGACGACGGGUAGCUGGUCUGAGAGGAUGGCCAGCCACAUUGGGACUGAGAGACGGCCCAG